GGCCCCCUGUCGCAAUAGAAAUAGGGGGUCUGGCCUGCCCAGUGACAUAUGUUAAACGGCCGCGGUAUCCUAACCGUGCAAAGGUAGCGUAAUCAUUUGCCUAUUAAUUGUGGGCUAGUAUGAAUGGCUCGACGAGGAUGAAGCUGUCUCCCAAUAGGGUAUAUAGAAAUUGUUUUUUAGGUGAAGAGACCUGAAUGGAACUAAGGGACGAUAAGACCCUAUCGAGCUUUAGUGGUAUCCUAAAAUGAUGUAAUGGUAAAUUUAUAUUUUGUUCUUUGGGAGAAUCUUUGGUUGGGGCGACCGUGAAGUAGAAGAAACCUUUAGUUUUGUGUGUUGGCCGAUGGGCUAAGAUCUGGCAUGUUAUGCAGAUAAAAAGAAUAAGCUACCGUAGGGAUAACAGCGUGAUCCUUUUGGAGAGUUCUUAUUGAGAAAAGGGUUUGCGACCUCGAUGUUGGACUAAGGUUACCUGGAGGUGUAGCAGCUUUCGAGGGUUGGUCUGUUCGACCAUUAAAACCUUACA
RNAcentral lists this ribosomal RNA (520 nucleotides) under Amblychilepas nigrita. Its description in RNAcentral is "partial large subunit ribosomal RNA". It matches the Rfam family "Bacterial large subunit ribosomal RNA", at positions 1817 to 2600 of the family's 2925-position model. Lineage: Eukaryota; Metazoa; Mollusca; Gastropoda; Lepetellida; Fissurellidae. The record is from RNAcentral.